Molecule: long non-coding RNA, 728 nt
Filed under: Populus trichocarpa (black cottonwood)
Lineage: Eukaryota; Viridiplantae; Streptophyta; Magnoliopsida; Malpighiales; Salicaceae
Description: long non-coding RNA (PTRI_LNC001845)
Source: RNAcentral
CUGAUCUUCACUGCCGCCACACCCACAUCAACCUCUCUCGGCCACAGCUCCCCCACACGCGGCCAAACCAGCCAUCGCCAUUCCCCCAUUUCCACUCAUCUUCAAGUCCCAGCCUACAGAACAGACCCCCUCCCUUUUCCCGACCAUCUACUCCCCUCACCUCAUUGAUUUCCCUCUCCAUACCCACAAACCAGAAUCAAUCAAAGUCGCAGCAUCCCGGCUAACCCAAGAGUCCCAUCUCCAUCGUUUUCAUCUCCUCCUCCCAGCCGCGGUGUCUCCGCCUCAACACAGCCAACACCCUCUUCAUCUCCCUCAACCAGCCUCCAGCUGCAACCCAGGAACGACAGCGCCCACAGACGUCGUCCCCUUCCUCACCCACCAACUCUCCUUUGCACAGACCGGCCUCCUGCUCGCCUUCUCGCUCCACCAGCGCUCGCAGACCCAACAGCCUCCAGCGGCGGCCUGAACACAACGGCACCUACAGAUCAGCAGCCAUCCUUCCUCCUUCUGCCAGCUACCUGAAGCGGAGGGGAAGACGAAAAAAACCCAUAGAAGAGCCGAUCUGCAGUGAAGCAGAUCUAAAGGAAAAGAGAGAGAGGCAGACCUAAAAACCAUGAAAGAAGAUUAAAACAGUUUGCCUAUUGUGUUUUUCUGGUAUUUUGCAGGUCACUGCCGGCGAGGAGGGGAAGAAAAGAGGAAGCCGUGACUGACCCUCCUGCUUGCCUGGG